RNAcentral lists this ribosomal RNA (257 nucleotides) under uncultured bacterium. RNAcentral's name for it is "partial 16S ribosomal RNA". It matches the Rfam family "Bacterial small subunit ribosomal RNA", at positions 526 to 779 of the family's 1533-position model. The record is from RNAcentral.
CGGAGGGUGCAAGCGUUGUCCGGAUUUAUUGGGUUUUAAAAGGGUGCGUAGGUGGGCUGUUAAGUCUGGUUUGAAAGUUGGUCGCUUAAACGAUCAAGGGUGGCUGGAUACUGGCGGUCUUGAAUGGGGUGGAGGUAGCCGGAAUGGGUUGUGUAGCGGUGAAAUGCAUAGAGAUGACCCGGAACACCGAUUGCGAAGGCAGGCUACUACGCCUUAAUUGACACUGAGGCACGAGAGCAUGGGGAGCAAACAGGAUU